RNAcentral lists this ribosomal RNA (1439 nucleotides) under Lactiplantibacillus plantarum. Its description in RNAcentral is "bacterial SSU rRNA". It matches the Rfam family "Bacterial small subunit ribosomal RNA". The record is from RNAcentral. Lineage: Bacteria; Bacillati; Bacillota; Bacilli; Lactobacillales; Lactobacillaceae.
AUACAUGCAAGUCGAACGAACUCUGGUAUUGAUUGGUGCUUGCAUCAUGAUUUACAUUUGAGUGAGUGGCGAACUGGUGAGUAACACGUGGGAAACCUGCCCAGAAGCGGGGGAUAACACCUGGAAACAGAUGCUAAUACCGCAUAACAACUUGGACCGCAUGGUCCGAGCUUGAAAGAUGGCUUCGGCUAUCACUUUUGGAUGGUCCCGCGGCGUAUUAGCUAGAUGGUGGGGUAACGGCUCACCAUGGCAAUGAUACGUAGCCGACCUGAGAGGGUAAUCGGCCACAUUGGGACUGAGACACGGCCCAAACUCCUACGGGAGGCAGCAGUAGGGAAUCUUCCACAAUGGACGAAAGUCUGAUGGAGCAACGCCGCGUGAGUGAAGAAGGGUUUCGGCUCGUAAAACUCUGUUGUUAAAGAAGAACAUAUCUGAGAGUAACUGUUCAGGUAUUGACGGUAUUUAACCAGAAAGCCACGGCUAACUACGUGCCAGCAGCCGCGGUAAUACGUAGGUGGCAAGCGUUGUCCGGAUUUAUUGGGCGUAAAGCGAGCGCAGGCGGUUUUUUAAGUCUGAUGUGAAAGCCUUCGGCUCAACCGAAGAAGUGCAUCGGAAACUGGGAAACUUGAGUGCAGAAGAGGACAGUGGAACUCCAUGUGUAGCGGUGAAAUGCGUAGAUAUAUGGAAGAACACCAGUGGCGAAGGCGGCUGUCUGGUCUGUAACUGACGCUGAGGCUCGAAAGUAUGGGUAGCAAACAGGAUUAGAUACCCUGGUAGUCCAUACCGUAAACGAUGAAUGCUAAGUGUUGGAGGGUUUCCGCCCUUCAGUGCUGCAGCUAACGCAUUAAGCAUUCCGCCUGGGGAGUACGGCCGCAAGGCUGAAACUCAAAGGAAUUGACGGGGGCCCGCACAAGCGGUGGAGCAUGUGGUUUAAUUCGAAGCUACGCGAAGAACCUUACCAGGUCUUGACAUACUAUGCAAAUCUAAGAGAUUAGACGUUCCCUUCGGGGACAUGGAUACAGGUGGUGCAUGGUUGUCGUCAGCUCGUGUCGUGAGAUGUUGGGUUAAGUCCCGCAACGAGCGCAACCCUUAUUAUCAGUUGCCAGCAUUAAGUUGGGCACUCUGGUGAGACUGCCGGUGACAAACCGGAGGAAGGUGGGGAUGACGUCAAAUCAUCAUGCCCCUUAUGACCUGGGCUACACACGUGCUACAAUGGAUGGUACAACGAGUUGCGAACUCGCGAGAGUAAGCUAAUCUCUUAAAGCCAUUCUCAGUUCGGAUUGUAGGCUGCAACUCGCCUACAUGAAGUCGGAAUCGCUAGUAAUCGCGGAUCAGCAUGCCGCGGUGAAUACGUUCCCGGGCCUUGUACACACCGCCCGUCACACCAUGAGAGUUUGUAACACCCAAAGUCGGUGGGGUAACCUUUUAGGAACCAGCCG